This 260-nucleotide long non-coding RNA is filed under the name Mytilus galloprovincialis (Mediterranean mussel). The record is from RNAcentral. Lineage: Eukaryota; Metazoa; Mollusca; Bivalvia; Mytilida; Mytilidae.
UGCUUGUCUUUGCAAGUGGUGACUCCCAUGUAAGAGUUUGUGGUUAUAAUAAACAUGCUUGAGUUUACGAAUUAGAAUUUAAACCUGCUUCCUUAAACUAGCAGGGAGACUUGUACCUGUUUAAAAUUGUACAAGCAUCUCUAUAUAUUCUUAUUUACAUCUAGAUUCUACAUAUACAUGAUAUACAUGUACAGCAUUGAAUCUCUAUGCUCAGCUAACUGGCAUACAUUUAAAUUUUAUGCCAAACAAAAGCACAUAUG